GGGUAGGUAGAUAAGUGGUUAAAAUGGCUUGACUGUAAAUCAAGUAGGUCUUCCUUUCGUUGGUUCGAAUCCAACCCUGCCCA
Molecule: transfer RNA, 83 nt
Filed under: Ackermannviridae sp.
Lineage: Duplodnaviria; Heunggongvirae; Uroviricota; Caudoviricetes; Pantevenvirales; Ackermannviridae
Description: tRNA-Tyr
Rfam family: tRNA
About the family: Transfer RNA (tRNA) molecules are approximately 80 nucleotides in length. Their secondary structure includes four short double-helical elements and three loops (D, anti-codon, and T loops).
Source: RNAcentral